Molecule: long non-coding RNA, 2302 nt
Filed under: Homo sapiens (human)
Lineage: Eukaryota; Metazoa; Chordata; Mammalia; Primates; Hominidae
Description: HSALNT0385121
Source: RNAcentral
UGGUGGAGCGUUUAGGAGUCUCAACAUGUAAAGGGUGGUUGGAGUUUCAAAGAGCUGAGAAAGAACUUGACGAGGGAUGGCAGAGAGGUACGAAGUUCAGGAAAGUGAUGUCGUGAAGCCAAGGGAGAGAGAUGUGAGAAGAGAAUGGCAACAUGUUGAAAGUUGCACGGAGGUCAAAUAAAAGGGAAGACACCUCCAUACAUUUAGGAAAAAGCUGGAGGCAGAAACGAGACUGUAGUGCGUUGGAGAGUGAAUGGGAGAGAGAUGAACAUAGUGUAUAUGCUGGCCUAAGAAAGGCAAGCAAGAGAUUGGGCAGGACCCAGAGGAGAUGUUGGAUUGUGGGAGGUGUCUGCAUUCCUUCAAAAGCAGACCUUGAAACAGAAUUGAGUGCAAGUGGUUUAUUUUGGAGAUGAUCCCAGGAAACACCAAUAUGGGUGGCGGGUGAAGAAAGGAGACAUCAGUAAAGAAUAUUUCAGCAAGCAAGAUGAAUGUGGGAAUAUGGAGCUUAACUUUAUUGGGUAACCCUGGAAGACAGUAUGGACUGUGUAUUCAAAGUUAAUUCCCCAUUAACUUUGGGGAGCUGGGAUAUAUUUAUCCACCAAUUUUAGUCAUUGGUUGAGCUUCCGUUCCUUGGGGAUUGGGGAAGCAUUAAUUUCCCAGGCACCUUUAGCAGGCCAUGUGCAUGGGGAAAGGAGGCUCUGGCAGCCAGAUAAAGUCCUCACGUAAAAAGACAGGAGAUGGCAGUUGGAAGUUGGAUGAAAGUGAUGAAAAUGGUAAGAACUGAGGGGCUACAGAUGGGGACACUGAAAGCAUCUGUUGCAGGAGGGAUUUAGUGUUUUUCUAGCCUGAAAAGAAUGUAUCAUGAAUUGAAUGGUGAGGAUGCAUGAGAGGGAUGGGUUGAAGGUAUAAGUGAGAGGGGGGAUAAAUGAUGCAGAGUGGUUCAAGAGGAGGGGGAAGGGAGUGUGAGUAAGAAUGCAAUUGAAGGGCUUUGUUGAAAUGAUAUGAGGUUGUGGUUGGUAAGUAGGAGGCUGGGAUUUAUAUUCUAGCAGAAAUUCAGCAUAUCAUGAUCCUGGGUGUGGGUGGCUGAAAUGGUAGGAAAGUGAAUUCCAUUGGAGCUGGCAAGUCAAGCACCAGGGAGGUGAAGAUGUGGACAUGGGUUCAUUAACAUUGGAAAUCAAAGUCCCUAAGGACUUGAGGGUGGAGAGAAAGACUAAAUCAGCUGCCAAAGUUAUUAGUGUUAUUAAAAGUCACAAGGUACCCCAGUGAGCCAAGAGUGUGUAUCAACCAUUGGGUGCUAGACCAGGAAGGAGUCAGAAGAACAAAUCAGUCUGAAGAGUCUGAUUAUUAUUUAAUGGGUGAGUCUAGCUGGAAGUUUUGAAAGGAGGUUAGAGAACAGAGCUGAAAAGUGGCAGCAAGAGUCAAAUUCAAGGAGCAGGCAGGAGGCCAGGGACAAAAAAUAGGAUCAGGAACCAGAGAAAUCAAAUACAGUUUAGGAAGCCGAGUUCAAGAUUGGUUCAAGUUUAUGGUGUAGGUUGAAGGCUGUGGAUAAGGAGAGAAAAUAAGGACGCAUGUUUUUUAGGGGGAUCCAUGUGGGCAAAGAGAUGGACAGCAAGCCCAAAGCCCUGUCCCUACUUGGUUUUCCCUUAUUCCCUGAGCCUCACUCCUGCUGAAAUCCAGGAGUCCAUGGGAUCCAGUUUGAAGGUCACUGAGGAAUUGGAGUGAGUUCAGACUCUGGAGUCAGACUGACCUGGGUUCAGAUCUCUGCUCAAUCUCUUCUAGCUGUGAAUCUUGAGGAAGUUUUUCACCUGCAAGUGUAAUUGAACCUAUAUUGAAGGAUUGUUCUCUGUUCUUGCUCAAAGAAUGGUUUGCAUUACUUUAAGAUGACAAUGAUACACAUUCAUGAAGCAACGUUACGUAGGGCUCUAAGAGUGUGUAAUAGGGGCAUUUUACCCAGUCAGGAGACCAAGGGAGGCUGCCCUGAGGAGGUGACAUUUGAGCUAAGAUGGGCGGAAUGAAAAGGAGACACUGAAGAAUGAGCUGUAGAAGGAACAGAGAGUUAGAAGCUAGAAAAGUACAUGGAGAACCAUACAACUGUGGUGUCAUAAAAGACUUAUCUUCUGCUGUGUUACCCUGGUUGACUCCAGUUUGGCUUCUACUCCAUGGAAGAGGUUUUACAUUUCAUCUGGCCCUGUGAAUGUGGACUCCGUUUCUCCCCUCCCUGUGCUGACAUUUCUUCCAUUUUGUCCCCCUGAGUGGUGCAAGACAGGAACUUGGAUGGAGCCAGAGGCCAUUAUCCUUAGCA